This 1482-nucleotide ribosomal RNA is filed under the name uncultured bacterium. Its description in RNAcentral is "bacterial SSU rRNA". It matches the Rfam family "Bacterial small subunit ribosomal RNA". The record is from RNAcentral.
GACGAACGCCUGGCGGCAGGCUUAACACAUGCAAGUCGCACGAGAACGCCCGGGCUUUUGCCGGGGCAGUACAGUGGCGGACGGGUGCGUAUCGCGUAGAUAACCUACCCUCAGGCGCGGGACAAUCGCGGGAAACCGCGGCUAAUACCGCACGUCGUCUGGCUCCCGCAUGGGGGCCAGAUGAAAGCUCGGGUUUCCCCUAGCACCUUCCGACGGGUCUGCAUUGGAUUAGCUUGUUGGUGACGCAACGGCGCACCAAUGCAACGAUCGUCAGCUGGGCUGAUAGGACGAUCUGUCACUCUGAGACUGACACAACGCCCACACUCCGACGGGAUGCGGCAUCGGGGAAUCUUGCGUAACGCGGUCUCCCCUGAUGCCGCCUUGCCGAGUACACGAAUACACCCCUAUGGCGCGUUUUCUCCUUUUCUAAACCACUAUACCCCCGUGGGUUCACGGCGCUACAGGAAUUCACGACUACUCACCCGCUGCCUCCGUGCCCGCUACCACGGUAGUACCGAGGGUGCUCGCGUUGUCCUGAAUCUCUGGGUGUCACAGGUGCGCCAGCGGGGCAGCAAGUCGGAUGUGAAACCCCAUGGCUCAACCAUGGAGGUGCAUUCGAAACUGUUGCUCUUGAGUCCCGGAGAGGCUGCCGGAAUUCGUGGUGUAGCGGUGAAAUGCGUAGAUAUCACGAGGAACACCAGAGGCGAAAGCGGGCAACUGGACGGGUACUGACGCUCAGGCACGAAAGCGUGGGGAGCAAACAGGAUUAGAUACCCUGGUAGUCCACGCCGUAAACGAUGAACGUUCGCCGUUAUCCCGCUUAAGGGAUAGUGGCUAAGCUAACGCGUUAAGCGUUCCACCUGGGGAGUACGAUCGCAAGGUUGAAACUCAAAGGAAUUGACGGGGGCCCGCACAAGCGGUGGAGCAUGUGGCUCAAUUCGAUGCAACGCGAAGAACCUUACCUAGGCUCGAACGCUAGAGGACCGCUCCUGAAAGGGAGCUUCCCCUUUGGGGCCUGUAGCGAGGUACUGCAUGGCUGUCGUCAGCUCGUGUCGUGAGAUGUUGGGUUAAGUCCCGCAACGAGCGUAACCCUUGUCGUUAGUUACCAGCGGGUAGUGCCGGGGACUCUAGCGAGACCGCCUGCGCAAGCAGUGAGGAAGGUGGGGAUGACGUCAAGUCAUCAUGGUCCUUACGCCUAGGGCUGCACACGUGCUACAAUGGUCGGGACAACGAGCAGCCACCUCGCGAGAGGGAGCGAAUCUCUCAAACCCGAUCGUAGUUCGGAUUGGAGUCUGCAACUCGACUCCAUGAAGCAGGAAUCGCUAGUAAUCGCGGAUCAGCAAUGCCGCGGUGAAUCCGUUCCCGGGCCUUGUACACACCGCCCGUCAAGCCAUGGAAGCUGAGAGCACCCGAAGUCCGUGACUCAACUCCGGCCUCGCGCUGGAGAGAGAGCGGCCGAAGGUGAGCUCAGUGACUGGGGCU